This 780-nucleotide ribosomal RNA is filed under the name uncultured bacterium. RNAcentral's name for it is "bacterial SSU rRNA". It matches the Rfam family "Bacterial small subunit ribosomal RNA", at positions 28 to 805 of the family's 1533-position model. The record is from RNAcentral.
GAUGAACGCUGGCGGCGUGCUUAACACAUGCAAGUCGAACGAAGUACUUUAUUUGAUUUCCUUCGGGACUGAUUAUUUUGUGACUGAGUGGCGGACGGGUGAGUAACGCGUGGGUAACCUGCCUUGUACAGGGGGAUAACAGUUGGAAACGGCUGCUAAUACCGCAUAAGCGCACAGCAUCGCAUGAUGCAGUGUGAAAAACUCCGGUGGUAUAAGAUGGACCCGCGUUGGAUUAGCUAGUUGGUGAGGUAACGGCCCACCAAGGCGACGAUCCAUAGCCGACCUGAGAGGGUGACCGGCCACAUUUGGGACUGAGACACGGCCCAAACUCCUACGGGAGGCAGCAGUGGGGAAUAUUGCACAAUGGGCGAAAGCCUGAUGCAGCGACGCCGCGUGAGCGAAGAAGUAUUUCGGUAUGUAAAGCUCUAUCAGCAGGGAAGAUAAUGACGGUACCUGACUAAGAAGCACCGGCUAAAUACGUGCCAGCAGCCGCGGUAAUACGUAUGGUGCAAGCGUUAUCCGGAUUUACUGGGUGUAAAGGGAGCGCAGGCGGUGCGGCAAGUCUGAUGUGAAAGCCCGGGGCUCAACCCCGGUACUGCAUUGGAAACUGUCGUACUAGAGUGUCGGAGGGGUAAGCGGAAUUCCUAGUGUAGCGGUGAAAUGCGUAGAUAUUAGGAGGAACACCAGUGGCGAAGGCGGCUUACUGGACGAUAACUGACGCUGAGGCUCGAAAGCGUGGGGAGCAAACAGGAUUAGAUACCCUGGUAGUCCACGCCGUAA